This 18-nucleotide small nuclear RNA is filed under the name Arabidopsis thaliana (thale cress). RNAcentral describes it as "snRNA_14945". Lineage: Eukaryota; Viridiplantae; Streptophyta; Magnoliopsida; Brassicales; Brassicaceae. The record is from RNAcentral.
GGCUUCGGUUGUAGCAAA